Non-coding RNA from Caenorhabditis elegans, 252 nucleotides. Ensembl annotates it as ncRNA. Its record names the gene anr-2. Lineage: Eukaryota; Metazoa; Nematoda; Chromadorea; Rhabditida; Rhabditidae. The record is from Ensembl.
UUUUCCAAUUUCAUCCAUUAAAUCCAUUAUCAAUUUCCCGACACAAACUACAUUAUUCGGUCUGUAAAGUGCCACACAAUUACGGAAAGCGGCACGAAGUUGAUGAAGAUCCUCGCCGAAUUGGAAGCCGAUUUUCACGAUUUCAGGCGUCUCGAAAAGAUAUGAAAAUCAAUGAUAUAAAUACAAUCAUGAAGUGACAUUUGGAGGAUUGUGGCUUUGCUCGGUGAAACGUAGGCACUCCAUUCGGCGUCA